UACGGAGGGUGCAAGCGUUAAUCGGAAUUAUUGGGCGUAAAGAGCUCGUAGGCGGUCUGUCGCGUCGGCUGUGAAAACUCGGGGCUCAACUCCGAGCUUGCAGUCGAUACGGGCAGGCUAGAGUUCGGCAGGGGAGACUGGAAUUCCUGGUGUAGCGGUGAAAUGCGCAGAUAUCAGGAGGAACACCGGUGGCGAAGGCGGGUCUCUGGGCCGAUACUGACGCUGAGGCGCGAAAGCUAGGGGAGCAAACAGG
Molecule: ribosomal RNA, 253 nt
Filed under: uncultured bacterium
Lineage: Bacteria
Description: partial 16S ribosomal RNA
Rfam family: Bacterial small subunit ribosomal RNA
Source: RNAcentral